CUAAGGCUCCAGAGGAAGCCACGGCUAACUCUGUGCCAGCAGCCGCGGUAAUACAGAGGCGGCAAGCGUUGUUCGGAAUUACUGGGCGUAAAGAGCACGUAGGCGGCCAUGCAAGUCAGUUGUGAAAGCCUUCCGCUUAACGGAAGAAUGCCAGCUGAUACUACAGGGCUUGAGUACGGGAGGGGAGAGUGGAACUUCUGGUGGAGCGGUGAAAUGCGUAGAUAUCAGAAGGAACGCCGGCGGCGAAAGCGACUCUCAGGCCCGAAACUGACGCUGAGUGUGCGAAAGCUAGGGGAGCAAACGGGAUUAGAUACCCCGGUAGUCCUAGCCGUAAA
RNAcentral lists this ribosomal RNA (335 nucleotides) under uncultured Planctomycetales bacterium. RNAcentral's name for it is "bacterial SSU rRNA". It matches the Rfam family "Bacterial small subunit ribosomal RNA", at positions 473 to 806 of the family's 1533-position model. The record is from RNAcentral. Lineage: Bacteria; Pseudomonadati; Planctomycetota; Planctomycetia; Planctomycetales.